UGAGAUUUCGAGAGGCAACUUUCCCAGCAACAACAUGUGGAAUGUCUCGAGCGGCUAUGCUUAUGAACCAACUGGUCCUUCAAAGACUAGAACUACAUUCUAGAACUAUUUUAAGCAAAUGGUAUUUAAAUCACAGCACAUACAUUUUUUAUAUUUUUUCUUCCCCAACUGCAGUAACUGGAUAUACUGGUGUUACACUUGUUAUUUGAUACACAGGAAGGCAGAGCCUGAAAUUAUUGGGAGGAGUUACCCGGUCUUUAGUAGUCAGGCCACCUCAUACACUCAAACCAGUUCAGAA
Molecule: non-coding RNA, 298 nt
Organism: Pelobates cultripes (western spadefoot toad)
Lineage: Eukaryota; Metazoa; Chordata; Amphibia; Anura; Pelobatidae
Source: the annotation of a GenBank genome assembly